UGGAAGUUUUUUGGUAAUCUGAUGGAUGGCGGUAUGUGUUCUGUAUGUGGGGAAGAGAGUUUUGGAACUGGAUCGGAUCAUAUCCGCGAGAAAGACGGGAUUUGGGCAGUUCUUGCCUGGAUGUCAAUACUUGCUCA
Molecule: non-coding RNA, 137 nt
Organism: Camelina sativa (false flax)
Lineage: Eukaryota; Viridiplantae; Streptophyta; Magnoliopsida; Brassicales; Brassicaceae
Source: RefSeq, a predicted model, not a curated record